UGACAGGUUCAUCUCAAUGCUUCUCUUAGCACUGAAAUGUUAUGUUCGUCUCUAGGAUUUGAAAAAGGUUUGAAAACAUUUUAAACACUGAACGUAAUCUGCUUUAAAUGUACUGUGUUCAGUGAACAGGGAAGUUUUGUUGUAAACCAUCUUCACUCCAUGAUCUCUGAAUAAUUCGCAUCACGCUUUAUUGAGUUUUCCUCUGAUGUGAUUUGGGAAGCAUGCAGGAUACCGUGGGGCGUAAUGCAGCAUUCCUGCUCUUCUGGGGAAUCUUGAAUUCUUACUUUCCUCUAGAUUGCUGCCAAACUGCCCCUACUUUUACUGCCAGUUAUUCUCCAGACCUUUACGUCUCUGUUUCUACAACAACUCCAGACUCAAGUUCAUCUAUCUUCACCAAAACAUCAGAACCAAAUCCCCUCACAAACACAAGUACAACUGAGUCUUACUCAACCAUUCAACCAACUACACACCUGAAGAACACUUCUCUCAGUGACCCUUCUGACUCAAUAUCAGAACAACAAAGCACUGCCACUCAAACAACAGAGCCCUUAACCAAUGCCACUGCACAUGAGAUAAGUUCAACAGGAAGCACUAAAACAACUAGCUCGGACACAUCAACAACAUCUGAGACACCUACACUGACUCCAAUUCAUGCAAACAAUAAUUCCAUUACCACCACUGAUUCCAAAACACAAUACAAAGUAGAGCAAACCUCAGACAGCAAUACAUCCAUUUCUUGGUCUACUGGAACAUUAACUGGUACCCAAAGGCCUGAGCCAACAAACGAAACUUCAAC
Long non-coding RNA from Cyprinus carpio (common carp), 796 nucleotides. RefSeq lists it as uncharacterized. Lineage: Eukaryota; Metazoa; Chordata; Actinopteri; Cypriniformes; Cyprinidae. The transcript is spliced from 3 exons. The record is from RefSeq and is a predicted model, not a curated record.